UGGGGAAUUUUGGACAAUGGGGGCAACCCUGAUCCAGCCAUCCCGCGUGUGCGAUGAAGGCCUUCGGGUUGUAAAGCACUUUUGGCAGGGAAGAAACAGCCUGGGCUAAUAUCCCGGGCGACUGCCGGUACCUGCAGAAUAAGCACCGGCUAACUACGUGCCAGCAGCCGCGGUAAUACGUAGGGUGCAAGCGUUAAUCGGAAUUACUGGGCGUAACGCGUGCGCAGGCGGUUCGGAAAGAAAGGUGUGAAAUCCCAGGGCUUAACCUUGGAACUGCACUUUUAACUACCGGGCUAGAGUACGUCAGAGGGGGGUAGAAUUCCACGUGUAGCAGUGAAAUGCGUAGAGAUGUGGAGGAAUACCGAUGGCGAAGGCAGCCCCCUGGGAUGAUACUGACGCUCAUGCACGAAAGCGUGGGGAGCAAACA
Molecule: ribosomal RNA, 427 nt
Filed under: uncultured bacterium
Lineage: Bacteria
Description: bacterial SSU rRNA
Rfam family: Bacterial small subunit ribosomal RNA
Source: RNAcentral